GGGCGUGUAGCUCAGCUGGUUAGAGCGCUUCCUUUACACGGAAGAGGUCUCAGGUUCGAUCCCUGACACGCCCA
Molecule: transfer RNA, 74 nt
Filed under: Omnitrophica bacterium RIFCSPLOWO2_01_FULL_50_24
Lineage: Bacteria; Pseudomonadati; Candidatus Omnitrophota
Description: tRNA-Val
Rfam family: tRNA
About the family: Transfer RNA (tRNA) molecules are approximately 80 nucleotides in length. Their secondary structure includes four short double-helical elements and three loops (D, anti-codon, and T loops).
Source: RNAcentral